AUGAUGUCGAGGUCCUACACCAACCUGCUCGACCUGGCGGCGGGGAACUUCGCGGCGCUCGGCCCGGCCGGCGGCGGGAGGCGCCGGUCGGGGUCGUUCGGGUCGAGGCGGAUGCCGCGGGUCAUGACGGUGCCCGGCACGCUGUCGGAGCUGGACGACGAGGACGACGAGCGGGCCGCCACCAGCAGCGUCGCCUCCGAUGUGCCCUCCUCCGCCAUCUGCGAGCGCCUCAUCGUCGUCGCCAACCAGCUCCCCGUCGUCGCGCGCCGCCGCCCCGACGGCCGCGGCUGGGUCUUCUCCUGGGACGACGACUCGCUCCUCCUCCGCCUCCGCGACGGCGUCCCCGACGAGAUGGAGGUGCUCUUCAUCGGCACCCUCCGCGCCGACGUGCCCGCCGCCGAGCAGGACGAGGUCUCGCAGACCCUCAUCGACGGCUUCCGCUGCGCCCCCGUCUUCCUCCCCGCCGACCUCUACGAUCGAUUUUACCAGAACUUCUGCAAGGGCUACCUCUGGCCGCUCUUCCAUUACAUGCUCCCCUUCGCCACCGCUCAAUCUCCCAAUGACAACGGUGCAUCUGCCGGUGGUCGGUUUGAGCGCGCCUCAUGGGAGGCCUAUGUCCUCGCCAACAAGCACUUCUUCGAGAAGAUCGUUGAGGUCAUCAACCCGGAGGACGACUAUGUUUGGGUCCAUGAUUACCACCUCAUGGCGCUGCCCACCUUCCUCCGCCGCCGCUUCAAUCGCCUCCGCAUCGGAUUCUUCCUCCACAGCCCAUUCCCCUCAUCAGAGAUAUACCGAUCCCUCCCUGUCAGAGAGGAGAUCCUCAGGACUAUGCUCAACUGUGAUCUCAUUGGAUUCCACACAUUCGAUUAUGCCAGGCACUUUCUGUCUUGCUGUAGUAGGAUGCUGGGGAUAGAGUACCAGUCAAAGCGUGGAUAUAUUGGUCUGGAUUACUAUGGUCGCACUGUUGGGAUCAAGAUCAUGCCAGUGGGAAUCCAUAUGGGUCAAUUGCAGUCAGUGCUGCGGUUACCUGAAAUGCAGCAGAAGGUUGCUGAGCUGCGGCAGCAAUUUGAGGGCAAGACUGUGUUGCUUGGUGUGGAUGACACAGAUAUCUUUAAAGGCAUCAAUCUGAAGCUUCUUGCAUUUGAGUAUAUGUUGAAGACACAUCCUAAGUGGCGGGGCAGGGCUGUGUUAGUACAGAUUGCUAACCCAGCACGUGGGAAGGGAAAGGAUAUUGAGUCCAUUCGGGCUGAGAUUCAGGAUAGUUGUGAGAGGAUUAACAGAGAGUUUGGCCAGUCCGGGUACAGCCCAAUUGUUCUCAUUGAUCGGAAUGUCCCAAGUGUGGAGAAGCUUGCAUAUUAUACGGUCGCUGAGUGUGUCGUGGUGACGGCUGUGAGGGAUGGGAUGAAUUUGACCCCAUAUGAGUAUGUUGUCUGUCGACAGGGCAUACCUAGCUCUGAGUCUGCACCUGAGGUGAGUGGGCCACGCAAGAGCAUGCUAGUUGUCUCGGAAUUUAUUGGGUGCUCACCUUCACUGAGUGGUGCCAUUCGUAUUAACCCAUGGAAUGUUGAAUCAACGGCGGAGUCACUAAAUGAGGCCAUAUCAAUGUCAGAGCGUGACAAGGAGCUGAGGCACGAAAAACAUUACCGCUAUGUAAGCACACAUGACGUUGCAUAUUGGUCAAGGAGCUUUAUCCAGGACCUGGAGAGGGCUUGCAAGGAUCAUUUCAGGAAGCCAUGUUGGGGCAUUGGAUUGGGAUUUGGAUUCAGGGUGGUGGCACUAGACCCAAAUUUCUCAAAGCUUAGUUUUGAUUCAAUUAUAAUGUCUUAUGGGAGAUCAAAGAGUAGAGCUAUAUUUCUUGACUAUGAUGGUACAUUGGUGCCACAGGCUUCUCUCUACCAGAAACCGAGUGAAGAAUUAGUAAGCAUCAUUAAUACCCUAUGCUCGGAUAAGAACAACAUCGUCUUUAUUGUCAGUGGAAGAAGCAAGAAUAGCUUGGGAUCAAUGUUCUCCUCAUGUCCAAUUCUAGGCAUCGCGGCAGAGCAUGGCUAUUUCUUAAGGUGGACAAGAGAUGAAGAAUGGCAAACCAGUACCCAGUCCCCAGAUAUUGGAUGGAUGCAGAUGGCCGAGCCAGUGAUGAAUCUUUAUACAGAAGCAACUGAUGGAUCCUACAUUGAAACCAAAGAGACUGCUUUGGUGUGGCACCAUAGGGAUGCUGACCAAGGCUUUGCGUCUUCUCAGGCAAAGGAGAUGCUUGAUCACCUGGAAAGUGUACUAGCAAAUGAAGCAGUCUCAGUCAAGAGCGGCCAGUUCAUUGUUGAAGUCAAACCUCAGGGUGUUAGCAAAGGUCUUAUAGCUGAGAAGAUACUUGCAUCAAUGAAGGAGAAAGGUCAACAGGCAGAUUUUGUUUUAUGCAUUGGUGAUGAUAGAUCCGAUGAGGAUAUGUUUGAAAAUAUUGCGGAUGCCAUGAAAAAGGGCAUUGUUGCUCCAAAAACACCACUGUUUGCAUGUACUGUGGGGCAGAAACCGAGCAAAGCCAAGUUCUACCUGGACGAUACAUAUGAAGUAGUCAGUAUGCUGAGUGCACUAGCAGAAGUUUCAGAACCAGACCCAACGGCAGGCUUGACAGAUGACUUGGCUACAUCAGUCUCCUCGUUAGACAUCGGUGAUGAACAAAUACAGUUCAGUAAUACAAGGAUAGAAGGAUCUUAG
This 2709-nucleotide ribosomal RNA is filed under the name Triticum aestivum (bread wheat). RNAcentral describes it as "partial small subunit ribosomal RNA". Lineage: Eukaryota; Viridiplantae; Streptophyta; Magnoliopsida; Poales; Poaceae. The record is from RNAcentral.